CUGGAGACUAAGAAAGUGGAGUCCUGGAAGUCGAGCCGACUGGGCUCUCAGCCUCCUAAAUAAAAAGGUAGAUAGGACAGGUCUUGUCUACAAAAUAAAUUCAAGACCUGCUGACUACCAACAUCA
This is a non-coding RNA of Artibeus jamaicensis (Jamaican fruit-eating bat), 126 nucleotides long. RefSeq annotates it as small Cajal body-specific RNA 15. The transcript has a single exon. The record is from RefSeq and is a predicted model, not a curated record. Lineage: Eukaryota; Metazoa; Chordata; Mammalia; Chiroptera; Phyllostomidae.